UUAUAGUAGUUUGACUAAUGUGAUAAAAAUUAUUUUGUUUAUAAUUACUUCAAUUUGUUGGAAGAACUUUAAACACUUGGUUCCUACAAGUGGAAAUUAACAUUUUAAAGACACAGUGUUGUCAGAGAGUUCAGCAAAGCAUUUGAGUACUUUUUAGCCUCAAGAAGUGGGAAAAUUGUACUUAUUUAAAUGUCACUGUUUUGCAAAAACUUUGAGUCUUUUUCUUCUUUGUCUCUUUAUCCCUCAUUUGCUAGUGCUCACACAAUAUAUGCAGUAAAUGUAUUUUUUGGAAGUCUAACUAUUUUUAACAGAUGCAAUCCUUAAUUUUAUUGCUUCAUAUUUAUAUUAGAGAUUAAUAUGUUUGCCUGAAUGCCAGGCAGAUUAACUUCUCUUUGUUUAGCUUUAUAAUUUUUGCUUUAAGCACUGGAGAAGUUUGUUAUUGACAAAGCUGAACUAAUGUCAAUGAUCUUAUUUUUCAGAAUUUUUUGUGACAUUGAAAUUUUGGGAAAACAUAUAUGCAUAUAAAUUAGAUGAUAAAGGUAGAAACCGAGGCUUUAAUUACAAGAGAUACUCAGUGUACUUUUUAUUCUUAAGCCUACUAGAUGAGAAAAUUCAAGCCAUUAUUCAAUGUUUUUUUAAAUAAUUUAUUGCUGUUUUUAGAACUCUUUACUGUGUUUAUUCUAAUUCUUUAAUUCCUUCAAUAAGAAUAAUCAACCUAAUUAAAUAAUUGCAGGUUAAAAUUAAAUUUCAUUUCAAUAUUCUUGACCAGGGAACCCUAAGAGUUUUUAAGUGUUUAAGUAACUCAGUUGUGUAAGCGUUAACAGUCAGAAAUAUAUCCAGGUCAUCUAAGUCAUACAAUUGUCAGAUGGUUGCUAGGCAACAGAUAUCAGGUUUGGCUGAUGCUUGUUUCUAGGCAAAGCUUACCAUGUGAAAAGAAGAACAAAUUACAUGACACCUGCAUUUUGUUGUUAUGCUUUUUGAAAAUAAAGUUGUAUUUGGAGGGGAAAAAAGCCCUGACAUUUAUUAUGCACAUCAUCUUUCUUCUAAAUGUCAGAACUAUAUCAUUUGAUAGUUAAGUGAUAAGGUACAAUGAAUUGAAAUGACGGAUGACAUUUUAUUUCUUUUAUGGUUUUAGAUAAGGGCCUUUUGCCUAAUGCUGUUUUUAUAUCUUGUCAUCAAGUUAAUUAACUUUCUGAAUUCAUUAUGAUAGAAAAGAAGCUGCAAGUCAAAAUUAAUUGAAAUAUAAUUAAUUUAAAAUAUACAUAUUUCAAUGCUACUGAGGACAAGAAGUGAAAAUGACUUAUGUUACAUGAUUCUAGUACAACAUCAAAAUAUUUCACUGGUGAUGGAAGUGAUGUUGAGAGAGAGAUCACGUUUUAGAAAUCUAAGGUAAUAUUCCCAUUUUUGGAUAGUUAAAGACCUAGUCAAAAUUAUAGCUUGGCCCACAAAGUCUGAUGUUGGAACUCUGCCAAGUGUGAAGACGUAUUCUUCCAUCACGGUAAGGAUAUGUGGAUGAGAAGAACCACAACACAAUGAAGACAACAGUCAAAGGCACUGCAUGAAAACCUCAUGGAGACCCAUCUAUGUGUAUCUGUGAUUUGGAUAAUACAGAAGCUGAGGCAGGAGCUGCCUACCAAACAACUAAAUAAAAAGAAGGAUGCAUUUCGGAAGUAAGUACACUCACACCAGUUACUGUCAAAGGUGUAUAUGUCCAGUCGUACUCUUUCAACAAGAUGGGGUUACAUUCAUCUGUACCAUAUACAUUUAAUAUAAAAGAUUUAGCUUCCCAAUUAGCAACUAUAUAACUGGUUUGAGUUCAGGAUAAGGAAGCAUCACUACCCCACCUCUCUACCGCGCCACCUCAAUCCUUUCUUCACUCUUGGCUUUCUGGAGUAAUGGUCUCUCUUAAUCCAUUUCUAAUGGUUAACAGAAUGGAUGUUGGGGUUGGACACACCUGGAGUAGAAUUUUGACUCUAUUGCUUACUGAUACAUGAGAGGUUCUUGCAGUUUACUGAACUUCUUAGGCUUCUAUUUUGCCAUCUGUUAAAUGGAGAAGAUUGUAGUGCCUACCCCAUGGAGUUACUGUGAAAAAUCAGUACCUGUAAAGUACUUAGCUCAGUGCCUGGCACAUGGUGCUAAAUAGAUGUUAGCUAUUAUAUAAAAUAUAUAUUAAAAAUGGUUGUCCACUCUAGAGUAGCCUAGUGUCCCCAAUCCUAUCCCAAAAUACAGAUUCAGGAGUUUCUCCUCUGAAUUCAGUUGGCAGUCUUGUGAUCUCUGUUGGUGUUAAAAAGUCUCGAGUGUUGCUGGGAGAUGUCGCACUGAGCAGCUGAAUGAUAUAGAAGGGGAAGUCUCAUAUCCGUCCUAUGGUUAAUGGGCAGAAGAGGCUUCUGCAUAAAGUCAGGAAAAUAUUUCUGUUGGUGAAUUGAGUUGGCAGAAAUAUCUGUAUGUAGCUACCAAGUGUUCUCACUUAAAUGGUUCAUGAAAUGACCAGCUGCGUCAGUUCCCUGGCACCCCUAUGGGUCCGAGGCAUUUGAAUGUGUCUCUUAAAAAAGUCUUCCUCCAGAAUCUUUCACCGCGAAAUUUUCCAAAGAUUAUACUCUGGAAACUGUUUUGGGAGUGACACUCCAGGGGUUUGAAUCCUGGUAUCCUUUUAACUUCCCUUUCUUAACCCCAUCUGAGCCAAAGCUCAAUUUCUCCUAUUUUUUCCACAACAGGACUUAGUGAGACAUUGAGAAAGACCAGAUGUUAGCAACAAAAAAUAUGUUUACAUUCCUAGAGGAUAAAAAGAGAGUUGGGGAGGCUGUUGCUUUUCAAACCACAGCUCGUGUAUAGUUUAAGAGAAAAAGGAGGUACUUUCCCACGAUACUUUCUCUUUAUGCGUCAGAUAGUUUCACUUGUUGCAGAAAAAAAGGAAGUGAGGGAGAGAUGAAGUGAGGAGGAGAAAGAGAAAGGAAGGUAGAGAGAAUCUUUUUAUUGCUUGUUACAUAUAUGCACACAUACACAUUUAUAAAUAGCUAGGCAGCCGUCACUCACUGUGUGCUAGGCUCUGUGCUAGGAGCUUUUUUCCUAAUCUGAAUCUUUCCUUUGAUCCUAAAAAAAUGGGAUCAUAAUCUCUGGUACAUACUAGGAAAUUAUGGUUCAGAGGAGUUAAAUACCUUGCCUAAGUUUACAUGGCUAAGUAAGGGGCGGAAACUUACAC
Molecule: long non-coding RNA, 3199 nt
Organism: Diceros bicornis minor
Lineage: Eukaryota; Metazoa; Chordata; Mammalia; Perissodactyla; Rhinocerotidae
Exons: 3
Source: RefSeq, a predicted model, not a curated record